CCUACGGGGGGCAGCAGUGGGGAAUAUUGGACAAUGGGGGGAACCCUGAUCCAGCCAUGCCGCGUGUGUGAAGAAGGCCCUCGGGUUGUAAAGCACUUUCAGUGAGGAAGAACGCCUGGUGGUUAAUACCCAUCAGGAAAGACAUCACUCACAGAAGAAGCACCGGCUAACUCCGUGCCAGCAGCCGCGGUAAUACGGAGGGUGCGAGCGUUAAUCGGAAUUACUGGGCGUAAAGCGCGCGUAGGUGGCUUGAUAAGCCGGUUGUGAAAGCCCCGGGCUCAACCUGGGAACGGCAUCCGGAACUGGCAAGCUAGAGUGCAGGAGAGGAAGGUAGAAUUCCCGGUGUAGCGGUGAAAUGCGUAGAGAUCUGGAGGAAUACCGGUGGCGAAGGCGGCCUUCUGGACUGACACUGACACUGAGGCGCGAAAGCGUGGGUAGCAAACAGGAUUAGAUACCCUUGUAGUC
Molecule: ribosomal RNA, 465 nt
Filed under: Vreelandella stevensii
Lineage: Bacteria; Pseudomonadati; Pseudomonadota; Gammaproteobacteria; Oceanospirillales; Halomonadaceae
Description: partial 16S ribosomal RNA
Rfam family: Bacterial small subunit ribosomal RNA
Source: RNAcentral